CCUUGACUCGGCGGCCAAGCCUCUAAUCCAAGUUUGCUACAAGAAUUGGAGUAUUAGUGUGGGGAGACACGCAAGACCACACAACAUGGUGACAUGAUCCCCAAUCAAAUAAAUAUGUCAUGGUAGUGCACAAGAUCACAAAGCAUGGCUCCUAACCAUAGUCCCAAAGUGGGACAACAUAAAUCAAGGAAUACAAGACAACACGGCAUGGUACCAUAACCCCGUAUCGGCAAAUCAUGAUUUCUAGCAUUGAGUCUUUCAACUCGUACUUUCUUCGGCUAACCAUCUAACUCUCUUUAAGCCC
RNAcentral lists this long non-coding RNA (304 nucleotides) under Capsicum annuum. RNAcentral's name for it is "long non-coding RNA (CANN_LNC000200)". Lineage: Eukaryota; Viridiplantae; Streptophyta; Magnoliopsida; Solanales; Solanaceae. The record is from RNAcentral.